ACAACAAUCCGGGCCCCUCUGGCGAGGACACCGACAACGUCGGCAAACCUCGCGAUGUCGGAUGACCUGU
Bradyrhizobium sp. is the source of this 70-nucleotide non-coding RNA. Lineage: Bacteria; Pseudomonadati; Pseudomonadota; Alphaproteobacteria; Hyphomicrobiales; Nitrobacteraceae. The record is from Rfam.